UGAGCCCUACGGGAGGCAGCAGUGGGGAAUAUUGGGCAAUGGGCGCAAGCCUGACCCAGCAAUGCCGCGUGAAGGAAGAAGGCCCUCGGGUUGUAAACUUCUUUUAUCAGGGACGAAGGAUGUGACGGUACCUGAUGAAUAAGCUCCGGCUAACUACGUGCCAGCAGCCGCGGUAAUACGUAGGGAGCAAGCGUUAUCCGGAUUUCCUGGGUGUAAAGGGCGCGUAGGCGGGAUGGCAAGUCAGAUGUGAAAUCCGGGGGCUCAACCCCUGAACUGCAUUUUAAAC
Molecule: ribosomal RNA, 286 nt
Filed under: uncultured bacterium
Lineage: Bacteria
Description: partial 16S ribosomal RNA
Rfam family: Bacterial small subunit ribosomal RNA
Source: RNAcentral